UGAUCCUUUUUAAGCCGAAGGAUCACCUAGCCAACUGACGUUGUUAGUGAACCAAAUUUGUUCAUAUUGAUAGCCAAUCACGACCUUGUGAUUGGCUUUUUUUAU
Vibrio sp. MEBiC08052 is the source of this 105-nucleotide non-coding RNA. Lineage: Bacteria; Pseudomonadati; Pseudomonadota; Gammaproteobacteria; Vibrionales; Vibrionaceae. The record is from Rfam.